This 214-nucleotide ribosomal RNA is filed under the name uncultured bacterium. Its description in RNAcentral is "partial 16S ribosomal RNA". It matches the Rfam family "Bacterial small subunit ribosomal RNA", at positions 524 to 736 of the family's 1533-position model. The record is from RNAcentral.
UACGGGGGGGGGCAAGCGUUGUUCGGAAUUACUGGGCGUAAAGGCUCGUAGGCGGCCAACUAAGUCAUACGUGAAAUCCCUCAGCUUAACUGGGGGAACUGCGUGUGAUACUGGAUGGCUUGGAUUUGGGAGAGGGAUGCGGAAUUCCAGGUGUAGCGGUGAAAUGCGUAGAUAUCGGGAGGAACACCAGUGGCGAAGGCAGCACUCUGGGGCG